GAAGUCUAUCACCCCCUCAGCCCCGGCCCGGGCGGAGCGGACACCGGGACGGGUUGGGUUGUCUGGUCUGUCUGUGGGCUGGCGGCUGUAUGGCGUUCUCCCGGAGGCCGCUGGUGCCUGAAGAACCGGGCAGCACUUUAGAGUGACCGCUCAGCGCUGCUACGGCAGUCACCGCGGGUCACACCGGCUCGGGGCCCUCCCCGCGAGAGAAGGCAGCAGGGCGACAGGGACAAGAUGAUUGAAACACUUGUAACUACUGAAGCUCAGGAACUGCUGUACCAGCUCACGGCCCUGUUGGAACAGGAGUUAAGAUGUCAGCCAAAGGCCUCUGGCCUGAGACUAAUCGAAUCUGCUCAUGAUAAUGGCCUCCGAAUGACUGCAAGGCUGCGAGACUUUGAAGUGAAAGAUCUCCUCAGCUUAACUCAAUUCUUUGGCUUCCAUACAGAGACGUUUUCACUAGCUGUGAAUUUCUUAGAUAGAUUCUUGUCAAAAAUGAAGGUACAGCCUAAACACUUGGGCUGUGUUGGACUCAGCUGCUUCUACUUGGCUGUGAAGGCAUCAGAAGAAGAGAGAAAUGUUCCCUUAGCCACUGACUUAAUUCGAAUAAGCCAGUAUAGGUUUACUGUUUCAGAUCUGAUGAGAAUGGAGAAAAUCGUAUUGGAGAAGCUGUCUUGGAAAGUCAAAGCUACAACAGCCUUCCAGUUUCUACAACUAUAUCAUUCGCUCAUUCAUGAGAAUUUAAGCUGUGAAAGGAGAAAAUACCUUAAUUUUGAGAGACUUGAGACCCAGCUUAAAGCAUGUCACUGCAGAAUCAUGUUUUCUAAAGCCAAGCCUUCUGUCUUGGCAAUGUCUAUUAUGGCACUAGAGAUAGAAGAACAAAAACUACUGGAGUUGACAGAGGCAUUGGAAUUUCUGCAGUUGCAUUCCAAGAUAAACAACAGAGAUUUGACCUUCUGGAAGGAACUGGUGUUAAAGUGCCUUACAGAAUAUUCCUCGAGCAAGUGUUCCAAACCAAAUGUCCAGAAAUUAAAAUGGAUUGUGUCUGGACGUACAGCACGGCAGCUUAAACAUAGUUACUACAGAAUAACACACCUUCCUACAAUUCCAGAAACCAGCUCAUAAUAGGUAACCUCUUGAAGACAUAUAACAUAAACGUAGUAGGCCUGUCAUAGAGGCUGGUCUGUUCUCGUGUUCAUGCUUGAGCGAGUGCUGUACCUAAAGGAGUGGCAACCUAAUAUAUGAACGCUGGAGAAAGAACUGAUCCUCUGGUGUGCUGUGGGAGCAGAAAUGCGUUCUACAGACAUUGGGACCUCAUUCAAACUAAAAUGUGGAGUAAAACUGGAGUACAAUAAAACAAGGAGAGAACCAUCCUGUGACCUUGUCAACAGACACAUGAAUAUUUUGGAAACAUGAGCUUAAUAAUGAAGAAUUCAACUCAUGGAAAGAACAUGUAAUGCUUCAGACUAAAGAUCCUUCCAGCAAAUGUGUUCUUUUCAUGAUGAUUACAAUAUUCAGUGUCAGUUUUCAGUCUUAUUUGUUAGACUGUUUACUGUUCAGUGAAAUACCACAGUACCAAUACAAGGAAUUGUAACACCUUAUAGUUUGUAGAGCAGUUUGUGUAGUCUAACCUUGGUUUACUGUAACUGCAGGUGCUGAAUUAUAUAUUUAAUUUUAAAAAUCUGUUUCACUUUCCAAAGGUUAUGUGACAGUAGGAAAACAUCAUGUGCAGUAGCACAGUGCUGCAGUGUCUCAACCAAACUAAAGACUAAUCCUGCUUGAUAUUGAUGACAAUAGCAAAUGCCUGUCAGUCCCCCUGACACGCUGUUUGGGCAGUGUCAUAUGUCCAUGUGUUCCUGCUGGGCAGGGCACUGCCCUUCUCUCCUGGACACUGUGAUACCCACUGAACAUGUCAAGAGCCAGAAGAACGUGCUAGAGCAGAAGAAAAGAGAAACUUUAUUUCGUUACCUUAUAAAAGGUAGUCACUAACACAGCAUCAGGAACUUCAGUAUUUUGUAAGAGGUGUAGUUUACUGAGAUCACAAAUUAUUUCACAGUGUAAAAACUUGAUGAUACAUAAUGAAGGCUGAAGGAAAGUAGUGGGGUCAUCAGUUCGACAUCUGAUGACAGUUUUUCAACUGACAUCAGUUUUUCAAAGUUUCACUGAACAAGGGGUAAAAAUGCUGAUGCUGAAUAGGUACUUUUUUACAGACACAGUAGGAGCAGGGCUAAUGCCCCAUCUUGCCCUGUACAUAGGAGCAAUCUAGUUGAGAAGCACUGAAGAUUGCUUCAACUCCGAUCUCUUUAAUGGUAAGCUUCACAAAAUACAACUGCGUUUUCUGAAGACCGGGUCAGUACUCGAGGCAUAUCAUGCUUCUAGUGCUAAUGAGGAAGUGAAUAAGAGAACGUAUUAUUGUAUGUAAGAUGAACAGAGGGGCUGGGGGGAUGUUGCUAAUGACCUCUUGAAUUCUGCAUCACACGGUGGAGCAGAGGCUGUUAAUAACUGAUUGCUAUAUGAACCGACUUAGUGAAGAAGGAGAGAUCAGAAUGUUCUGCAUAGCGUGGGCUUAGAUAUUAGCCAACCAACCCUUUCCCCUUGAUGGUAAUAGCUAAGGGGGUAAACUGUUAUUUGCAUAUCUCAAACUCAAUUAAAUUAAACCUUUCACAGAAGACUUCAUACCAAAGCUGUAUACUGGACAAAUCAAGCCACCACAUGAACCCAUGGCAGUGAUUGCAUUGUAUAACAUCAAAUUAGGUUUUGCAUCUAACAGUGCUAUCUGUGGAUUGUGCUGGCCUGUGAAAAGCAUAUCUGUGAUUCAGACAAAGGUGUGGCCAGCCUACUGGAGAGGUGGAGAAGAUGCAAUUCUAAAUGUCAUGUCUCAAGAUGCAUACCUUU
Molecule: RNA transcript, 2892 nt
Organism: Chroicocephalus ridibundus (black-headed gull)
Lineage: Eukaryota; Metazoa; Chordata; Aves; Charadriiformes; Laridae
Gene: CCNG1
Gene name: cyclin G1
Exons: 8
Source: RefSeq, a predicted model, not a curated record